GGUGUUAAGUCUGAAGUUAUCAGUGUUCUUGUAGCAUACUGGGAAAACGGGAGGGAGGGGAAAGGCCGAAAGUUGAAAGCUUUGGUUCCAAUGAAUUUGUGUUGGAAAUUAUUUUAUAGAAGAUGUACUGAAUGCCUGAGCAAAGAGGGGAAUCUGUGGUGUGGGUUGUUUUAAGAUGAGUCCUUGGGCUUUGUUUUUGGCCUCUUGCCCCUGAAGGGCCGUGUGGCAGAGCUGGCAGCAGCAGAGACCAGCAGUGCACUGAGAGCAAUCUCUGAAGGUUUAACAAACCUUCAAUUACAGUCAGUUUCUACAGAAGAAAACGCCUUUAUCUCGCUCUUCUUGAUCAGUAACAAAGUAUUCCAAAGCUCAGUUGUUAAUACAAAUCUCUUAAGAAGCUUUUUAAAAACUACAGUUAUUUUAGCUACAAGAGUACCAGGAUCACUGCAGGACUGCAUGGUUGCUGCCCUGGUGGGAUUUUUGCUUCGUGUUGUUGAUUUUCAGAUCAACUGACAGCAAUAUGAUCUGCACCUCGCCUGAACAUCAGCCUGUUCAACAUCACAAUUGAAUUGGAUGUUUUUUCUGUUCAGUGCUGUGGUCAGAGGUGUGUGUGGUGUGCAGGGGAGGUUCUUCCCUGAUCGCAGUAUGAGCAGGAAAUAAAAAUCAUUUUAAAAUGUAUUUUCAAGUCAAUGUUUUAAGUUCACCUUGCUUCUGCUGCAGAGGAGUGUUAAGGAUCCUGUCAGCAUGCCUGGCUCCAUUAUUUCAGUAAACUCUUGCAGUAUAAACGGUCUCAUGUGAAACCAGCUUUUAAAUCAGAGUCACAGAAUGGCCUGGGUUGAAAAGGCCCACAAUGCUCAUCUUGUUUCAACCCCCCUGCUGUGUGCAGGGUCGCCAACCACCAGACCAGGCUGCCCAGAGCCACAUCCAGCAUAAAUACAUGAGUACGUUAUAAUGAGUCAGAUUUUGGUAACCAUGACUCACAUGGACAGUGCUGACAAUAUUUGCUAGAUGGUAGUUUUUUCUUGCAGUCUGUGGUGCAACAAAAUCAGUUCAGUGCAUGCAUCCUGCAAAUCUUGUAUCCUAUGUACCUGUAACUUUCAAGCUGUAGUGAAUAGGUCACUGCAUUGUUGUGGUUCUUCCAGGCCUGCUCUGGACUUGCUGUCCAAGUAUGGUGUGCCCAUACAGACAUCUUUUCCUUACCCUUUUGUUGCUGAUGCUUUUCACAUUUACAGAUGUAGAUGUGCUGUAUGCAGCAUUAUUGCGCACCGUGAUAAGAGAGGGGCUUGGAUCUAUUUGCUGUCAGGCUGUGGCAGGUGCCAUAAAAAAACAGAAAGGAUAUCACCUACUCUGUCUUCUGAGCUCUGCUUUCAUUUAGUUAGCAGCUGAUUUGCCCUAAGCAGAAUUCCUGCAGUAUGUUAUAAACAACCUGGCUGGCUUCCUUUGUAGCCUGAAGCACUUCAAUUUGGGGAUUUAUUUAUUUUGGAAGAAAGUUGGCUUUGGCCUUUUUAUUUUGUUGGUUUUUUGAAUCUUUUUAGCUUGGUUUGCUCACAAGCUGCCUCACGCAUCAGCAUGAAAUAGUUACACGCACCGAGCUUUUUGCUAUCUUGACUUAUUCCAGUUUGGUUCUCCUUGCUACUAAAUACUCACCUGUGAUGUGUAAAUUGCAGGAAGCCAACUCUGAGCCUGUGUUUUACAACUUCAGUACCCACUCCAACCCAGGUCUGAACCGAUGCAUCUCCACUUCUUUAGUUUUUCACCUUGAGGAGUUAUUCUGGUGGAGUUAAAAAUGCAGCAGUCCCAACAGGGUCAGAAAAAGACAACUCAGUCCUCAGUACUGUAGAGAUGCAUCAGAAUUAAAACAUGACUCUACAGCUGUGCUCACAGUUGCUUUUGUUUGCAUGUUAUUGCACUUGUACGUUUAUCCCGUAAGACAGGAGAAUGCAUGAAGUUAUUUGAUCAUGCAGUGACAUAGAAGCUUGUCUGGCUACAGGCUGUGCACUGAAAUCCAUUUUCAGCUUUAUGUGUGACCUCCUAAUUGAGGGCACAAUGGAAAUCGCAUCGAACGUGAUUGGAAUGGACAGUGGUAGCCAAGCGUUGUCCUGCAGUCUUUUGUCGUGUACCUCAAGUGGCUGGAGCAGGCUGACAUAACUACAUUUUUCCUCAUCAGUGUCUGUAGUUCAUGCUGGAAGCAGGUGCCCGAUGCCUGAUCACAGCUGGGCAAGUAAAACAGUUCACACAAUAAUCUGUGCUCUGUUUGAUGUCUUUUCUAUUGGCAAGAUUCUACUAAAUCUCUGAUGUGUGCGAGGAGGAAGAUAGAGGCAGGUCAGGAAUGGAUGAAUUUCUGUAGGUGGAAGCAUAAGAGGAGGAUUCUCUGUCACUGUUGUCUUCUCAUAAGCUGCUUUCAGCCUGGAGAAAGAUGGUAAUUAGAGUGGACAGAAUCUUAAGCUUUUGACUUGCCUCGCCAGCAGUGCCAGGUUUCCCAGUCCUCUAAAAUAUCUGUGCUCUGUGCUGGUUCUGUAGCACGCUUAGCUGUGUGUACCAGAUGGGUGGAUGGAGCCUUUUGUUCUGUUCUGGCCUCGACCUUGAAGUCACAAUCAUCUGACGCUAUGGGGGACAUUUGGACAUUAUCAUCCUGGCUGGUACAGCUAUGUGACCAUUGUCAAAAGAAGGCAAGACUUAACUAGCUGGGAAGUGUUUAGAUGGACUGCAUGCUGGUAACAAGCAGGAAAGGCUGUCUGAAGGUUUACAGACACCAUGGUGAGCAGAGCUCUCGUACCUGCCCUAGUAAAUAAUCCAGUUAGCAGGGUAGCACUGCUAUGUAUGUGGAGAUUCAUGGUGCAUGUCCUUCUAUGUCCUUUCUUGUGUCCUUAGAGGUUUAAAUAGAGAAUUUGUCAGCAAAAGCACAGAGAAGGAGGUCUUUGACAUAAUAUGGCCCUAGACCUCGUAGAGCUUACAGCUUCAAGUCAACAUCUUGAAUUCAACUUGGGCAGAUGGAGCAUUAAAUUCAACUGUAUCUGGUUGCUGUAGAGCAAAGCCACAAAGCUAUCUCAAACGCAAGUACUAUUAGAUAGGUAUCACUUAGGGACAUUCUAAAAUGAAAUGACACGUUCUGACAUUCUUGCAGGAGAUGCUAUGCUGCCUUUGUGAUCUGAUGGAUAAUGUUUUCUGCCACCUGGGUAGAAAGAAGAGAUCAUGUGUUUUCUUUCUUUAGUCUCCUAUCUCAACAGAGUGCGGAGUUGGUUCCUGUCUGGACCUGAAUUAAUCUUUAUGAAGAUUGUUAAUACCAUUCUUGCUUCGAGCUACUGAAAAGAGAAGGGGAGCAGCGAGGGGAAAAAAAAGAGAGAUUAAAGGGAAAAAAGCAGUAGGUUAUACAUGCAUUUUCCUCUGUGCUGCAGGUUAAAUAAUACCCUAUGCAUGUGAAAGAGAUACUGUGAUUAAGGAGCUGUCAGGCAGAACGAGAGUUGGGCAGCAAAGGGAGCAGAGAUGCUUGAGGGAAAAGGGCAGAAAGAGUAGAUCCGUGCAUGCUGCUUCGUGUGAGAACUUGUGAGAACUCUUCAGCUAUUGCAGAGCCUCUGGAAGCGUAGCUGUCAUCAUAUGCCUCCUGUUGGAAUUGGCGAACGGCAGGCACUCACUUUUUAGUCAGGUCAGUAUAUAUAUUUGACCUGUCCUGAGUUGCAUUUUCAUGCUGCACAGACGCCAGCCAUUCCCAGAGGCUCUCCUCACACUGCAGGAAGGUGCCUGUGUAAGCUGAGCUUCAGACGGGAUGAUAUGCCUGUCUCCUCUCAUAAGCUUUUUACUUGCAUUUGGUGGGUAAUGUAUCACAGAACUGGCAAUAAACAUGGAAGAACUUGUGUUGUUAAAAUGCAAUGCAAAGCUCUGUAUUUCUCUGGCUUCCCACUGCAGGGGGUUUACAGCCCCCCUCAGCUUCCUUGGCAGAACACAAUGCACUGUUCAGCUUUUGACUGGUACAGAAUAGUGGCUAAAGCAGAAGAGGAAAAGAUAAGAAGGCUCAUUGUCCAUAGUGAAAACAAGGAAAACCCUAAAAUGUGGAAAACUACAGGUGGAAUGGAAAUGAAUGGCUGUUGAAUGGAGGUCUGGGUGGUAGGAUGGCCCUUCCGACUGGGUUGGGUCCAGCAGAGAUGGAUUCUGCAGAAGUGCACGUGUAACCAUUACAGCAGAGCUCUCCAGGAAUGUUUUCUACCACUGAGGUGAGGAAAACAUGGAGUUAACAGUCUGACAGAUACAUUAAAGCAGAGCAUGUUGGGAUGGGGUAAUUACUGUAAAUCACUCAGAUUCACUUACGUAUAUUAGGUUGGAUGGGAACAGGGGGAUAUCCUUACCUUAGUGCUGAGUACAGACCGCAGUGAUGUUGGCUCUGCUGGCUCUUUGCUCUCUGUCUGUUUUUGUGCUUUGCUAAAACAAUACAGCUCCUUGCUGGCUCCCUUUUAAGGUGAGGCAGCGCCUCGGUGAUUCAUAUUCAGCCUGCAGGAAAACCACUGAACAAAAUUCUGUGAAGUUUUCCUGGUGGUGGUGGUGGACUGAGUCAGUGAUAGAUACAAACCUGUGUGUAUCUUCAGUUGUUCCCAGAAUAGGAUUCCACUGCUUUAAAAAGCCUUCCCACCCCAGGACAGUUUGCCACUUAGAGAGACAGGGUCAGCGCUUAACCUCCUUUCUGUUGCGGUGCACAGCGAGCAUUAAAACCAGCAGACAGACGUGUCCUUGCAGGGAGACUGUCUGCCUGGGAGCUCCCCACGGGGAGGCAAUCAGCCCCUGCCAUUGGCAAAGAGCUCUCACCCACUCAGCAGCAUUAAUCAGGGUUGACUGUUCCUCUUAAUCCUCUGAUCCCUUCCAUAAGGACGAGAACACAAGCGUGGCGUUUGCGUGUUAUGCUCUUCUUUGCUGACAGUGGGCCUGGCUCCUUGGUUGGUGAUUAGAGGGGUGGGUGAUCAAAACAUGAUUAGCAAAUCUGCAAUUAGAGUGAAGGCCAGGAGGGCAGGGGCUCACUGCGAGGAAGGGUCACAACUGCUAUGUGUCAGAAUCGAAGUAAAUAUGUGAAAGGACAGGGGAUUUAGCUGCACUCUUGUCUGAUGAGACUGCAAAUAGCCAAGGCACUGCUGGGAAGAUGCUUUGAGCACUGGAAUUUUAGAAACAAACAGCAAGCGAGGGGAGGCUUUCCUCCUGGACCAGGUAGUUUUGAAAAGCACUUUUUAAAGCAACAGAGGUCGUUCAUGUGGCUUAAAACACGGGCUCAGAAAUUGGGAUAUCAAUUCUUAGUUUUAGCCCGGAUGCUUUCUCUGACUGAUGCACAGGAACUAAAUUAAUCAUUUUCUUCAGCAGCUGGACAGCAAAGGUGCUCCCAGUGCCCUGCAGAGGUUCGUGAGCCUUUAAUAUAUCAGUGUGUGAAAUGCUUUGGGACUUUGGAAGAGGUCUAGCAAACCCAUAGACUGGUCUUGCCAGACAAGAUGAAUUGGAACAGGGAGUUCAUGUCACGAGCAACAGUUUGCUUGAAACCAACUGCAAGACAAAUAAUGGCAUGUUUUGGCUGCUCUUUUGGUUUAUGAAAAGCAAAGGUGAUAAGGAAAAUAUGGCAACCAGACCUCUGUCUCAGAAGGCCUUGUCAGUAAUGUUGAUCUUGCAAAAUAUUCUUGAUUCUGAGGACUUUUUAUAGCGUAGUGUAUUUAAAGUGUCAAUUCUUGUGCAUCUCAAGAUUGGUUUUGAAAUGGGACUGGUGGUUUGAGAUAGAUAUGGUCAUGUAAUGGUAGGGAGUUGAUAAAUGCCUUAAUGAAAAUAACACACAGAAUUUCUAGAGAGGCUUUUGUCCUAGGAUCUUAAAGUACUUUACAAACAUUAGUUAAUGAAGUCUUGCUGCAUCCUUGUGGAAUAGGCAACUGGCAUUAAAUUGAGAGGAUAAAUGAGGCAUAGGGAGAUUAAAGGACUUGUCUGCGGGUAGAAUCAGUCAGUGGUACUGAAAGGAACAGCACAGCAGCCCUGUCCCCCUUCUCAAACCUUCCUUUUGUGCAUAUGUACAGCAAGAGCCAUCUGAAUGGGGUCAAUACAGUUGGGUACUGAGAUCAGCUUGGGGUGGUUGUGGUGAUGCUGGGUUCUUUUUUGGUCUGUAGAGGAAAUAAUGAUGACAACAGUCUUUCAGAGAGCCCUUGUAGGUAAUUUUGGUCUGCUAGUCAACCUUCAAACUAAAAAAUAUUCCAGAUGGUGUUUUCAGAAAAGGCAGAGCAAGCUUUUCCAACACUGAUGCCUGUCUACUGGGGUUUUAUUUCUCUUCUUCCCCAAGGGACUCAAAGGCAAUGCAGUACAAGGGGGGGGGUGGGGGGAAGAAAUAAGAUAAAAUAAAAACAGUAGUGGAAGCAGGCACAGUUCGAGGCAUUUUGCCGUUAUAAACAAUCAUCAGAUUUCCUUUUUGGUAAGACUUGCCCCAGAUAGCAGUAAAUAGUGAAUGUCUGCUGCUGUCUCUGGGAAUGAAUGAGUGACAUUCAUUCUGCUGGGUGACACCUUUGCUUCCUGCACUGGAGAUCUGCACCCGAGGGACCUGGGGAGGAGGGAUGGUGCCACACAAUAUGCUAUUAAUUUUCUGCCUGUUGCAGGAAUACAAAAUAUUUUGAUCCUCCUUUUCCUCCUUCCCCAAACAAGCACGUACAGAAAGGAAUUAGUCUUAAGAGAAAGAAAUAUCUUGUAGGUGUUUGUGGAGUACACCUAUAACUAUUUAAUUUAGUCAAAGAAAGCCACUCGCACUGUUGUCUUAUGGUGGUAAGCAAGCAUUUUUUGUUCCUUAAUGUUUCCUAGGAACAUCCUCCCUGCUGGGUGUUCAUUUGUAAAUUGUAAACCAUCUUGGCUGACUCUUUGUUGUAACUUCUCUUUUUUUUCUAAAAUGUCAUUGAUUUUAAUGGCUGUCAGUGGGAGAAGAGAGAUCUUGCUAACAGUGGGCUGCGAUAAGUUGCAGAUAAGCAGUGUGUGGAAGUGCUGGUCCCAUCCAUACGGCCCUGCUGCUGCAGCCAGUGAUUACAGUGCUGCUUGUACUACUGGAGGCUUGUAAUUUGGUUUCCCUUUAGAAGCCUCUGACACUGCAGCCCAACAGGAGAGCAUCUGCUUUUCUUCUUGCUGAAGAGCACUGCCGAACCUUCUCUGUAAAGCUCGCUUAAAAACCUAUUGCUAGAUUUCACUAAUAUGUAAUAAUUUGGCUCCUUUUACCUACACAAAAUUACUUAUCUAAAUAAAAUGCAAGAAUAGUGUCUAACCGAAGGGGAAAAUAAAGAGUAUAAAUGUGUUAAUUACCAAAAUACCAGACAUGUAAUUAAUAUGCCAGAGGAACAAAGAGCAAAUGUACUAAUAGCACAUAAUUGGACUUAAACUACACCCUUGGUAGAAGUCUCUGCAAUGGAACUCUUGUGUUUGUGCUCCUUUUCAAAUUAGCAGUGAGGAAUAAAUUAACAUCCAUUUUCUUGCUCUCACAAAGGCAGAAUCAUAUUGUGGGGCGCAGUAAUGAAUUCAGAGAAUGCCUUUACAUUCCCGUAUGGCUCUCAGGGAUGGGAGUGCUGAUGCUCAUAGCUCUCCUCUUCCUCACAGCAAAGCAAGCAGAGAGAAGAGGAAAACGUCAUUGCGUGACCAGAUGUCCAAUGAGUACCACGAUCCUAAAUAUAAAAUUGAGUAUUUUAUAGCUGAGUAUUUUAAGCGUUUUCACCCUAUCUGGUGCAAAUACCUGAAGUAUUUCCACAAAUGUAAGUUUAUCUAUCCAUUAUUUUAUGUGCUGUAUGUGAUUCCAUUAUGUUUUCAGAUAAAUAUGUAAGGAAAGGAUUAGUCCUUGACCCAGAGGGACAAUAUAGGACAGAACUUGAAAGGCAACCCAAGGCUGCUCUUUUUCUUUUUAGCACAACGUAAGUCACUUGUUCAGUUCCAUGCGUAAAUGAGGAAGUUAAAGCAGUUGUUAACGUGGCCAAGGCUUGCUGUGCUGCUCUUCAGAACAGGUUUGCACAGUAGAACAGCAUAGAACCACAGGAGUCCUUGUUUUCCAUGGACACACAUUCUGGAAUGGCUUGUCUGGAGUAUACCUGACUUUAAUUCUUCCUUUAUUGUGUUAGUAGGAGAUGAGUACAAUCACUUUGCUGCUGCCUGUUUCUCUUGCUGUACUCUCUCCCUCUUUGUCUUCAGCAGUGUCUUACUGAGCUUUAUAAAUAAUUGAUUGAAUGCUGUUUGGAGGCCACAGUGGUUUCGGGGAUUUAGGAGGCCCCAGUACCCCUUGGAAUAAGGAAAUCAAUCUUGGAAGGAACCAGUCCCAUUUCAUUCAGGCUCCACUCUGAUUCAUCUCCUCCAACUUACGAUAGCUAUUGUGGCACCAGAUGGAAAGAAACACCUGUUUUUAUUAUGCCUCAGUUUUCCUGAGGUCCCUAAGUCAGGUCUGGAUUUUUAUCUCAAGUCUUGGAAGUGGCCCUGUCUGCACGUGGUUCGAGGUGCUUCAGGGUGUUACAGUCUUUCCGCUCUCCUAUAAAUGCAAAUGGAAAGCUUAGAAAUGGUCCUACUCUGUUGUAACGCACCUGUCAUCGCAGUAUCCAGGCACCUGCCUUUCUGCUCCUCAGAAGCCUUGUGGGAGUGCAUUAAUUAAUGCAUGUGAAAUGCUUGGAGGUCCUAGGAUGGUAGGUGCUAAUGAGUUGUAAGAUAUUAUAAUCGUGUUGCAGAAUAUGCAGCCCAUCUCUUAGUGCAGAAAGGCUUGCAGCUUUCCUUCGUUGCUUUCAUGCUUCUGGAUGCAUAUUUUGCAAGAGAAGGUAAUUCUAAACAGGAAAGAAGUAACGAACAAGAUGGAAGGAUUGCUAAUGCUGGUGCUUUUGUUGAGGAAGCGGCCGUUUCUAUGUGCUUCUUUGCUUAUUCCAUUUUCUUUUUGUCUCUCUGAUAAACCCAUACUUCAGUGGCUCGUUGAGAAUUCUCUGAAUGUUCAGAAAUGUCAGGGGAGAAGAUUUGCUGCUUCAGAUUGCCAGGGCCUUCAUUUGCAUCGCCUAAAUCAAUUCUCACACAUGAUCAAAGCACUUCUAGAAACAUUCAAGUGCAGGCAAAACCAGUCCCCUAAUUCUUUCUCCUCUAAUAUAUACACCCAGGUUCCAAAGCAUUAAAAAGGACAAAAUUAUCAGCCACCAAAUUUAAAAAUGCUUUAAUUUAAUGCCUCUUUAUGUUGAGAAUAUUGCAACUCUGUAUGUUUAGGGAUAGCAAGGCUAGGAAAGAUGUAGGUGGGAGUGGAGGGACCUGCAGUGGAGCUGAAAUACAGAUUCUAAGAAACUGCUCUGUUGUUGUCUGCAUGUAAUAUUUUGCUUGGCUGUGCAUGCAACUCUAUCAUGAGCUUAAUUACUUUACAGCAUAGUCUCUAUGGCAAUUGGUCUCCUUUCAGCACCGGUUUCAGGGCAGCUGUGAUAAAGCAAAUGCUCCAUAGAUGAGAUGCAGCUGGGUUCUGGGUUUGACUUCUCUUUAAAAGCAAUCAUAUUUGGGAAGUAAGCUAAUGUGCAUACAUUAAUUGAAGGAGUGAGACAAAAAUCAAGCCAAGGCCAGUUCUAUUCUCUUUAAAUAAAGACCCAACCAUUUUCUCAACCCACUUCCAGACUAUUUGAAGCCUGAACCCCCCUUUCCCCUCAGCUCCCCUUUGGAACAAGGGUCCAGAAUUACUAUCUAGAUACAGGGCACGCUGAGUGCAUUCAAAAUCAGUUAUGAGCCUGAGAUGUAACAGUCAGACACAGAUUUGCUGGUUACUUCAUUCAACGUGUCUCACAUCCCUCUCUAUGUGCGAUAUGCACCGUCCUCCUUCGAGCAGCAAGCAGGCUACCGCAUUCAUCUUUACCUAUCACCUUAUCUUUUCAUUUCUGGCUGCUCAGCUCCAUUCUGAAAAGUGCAAUAAAUACGUGUCCCCCUGGGUCCUUGCAAGCUGGGCAUUAGUCACACCAUGCGUUUCAAGGGCAUCAGUCUGAUAGUUUUUCAGCUGUAACAGAAAACAUGUUCUGCCAGGAGCCAUUUGUUCCAGUUUUGUUGCUUACUAAUAAAAUCAAAAUCAAUGUGUUUUUUGAGCUCGAGAAGCAGGUCGGAGAGUAGGAGGGAGAUAGGUGGUAAAAAUGGAGGUGCUGAAGUUGGAUCUUGUGAGUUUCUCUUGAAAUAAUGGCAUGUGGCAUUUCAGAGCAAGUGAGAAGCUCUGGCAGCUUGUGAAAGGCAGUCACCUCUGGCAAGCAGCAGAGCGGCUGCUUAACAGCAAAUAGGACUGGUGCAUAGCUUCACAUUGGGCAAUUUAAAUCCAAUUCUGUAAUAUGAAAGGCAUUGAGAGGGUGUUUUAUUUGCCGUGCUUCUGGAUUAAGUGCCAGUGGAACAUCCGUGGUGACACGGAUCACUUCCAAUUUCUCGUCUCUGCUGCAGAUGGAGUGCUCCCAUAUCACCAGUUCCUCAACCACUGACGUGCCAGUUCAAACCAGUUAGUCAUCUACCCAAGCAAAAUCAUCUAGCUGAGCUUAAAAUAUGGCCUGUUGGCUUUACUGAAUCAGUGCCUUAGUCACAGCUGCUUCGGAGGAGUUUUGCUCAGAGGAAGAUGCAAUCAAUGCCUUCUCUUGCCUUGGAAUUUUCCCAGUUUCGUCAUGACUGAUUCAGCUGAUGAAUUUCUCUGAGCUGACACUGUCGCCCUGCAAUAAAUGAAGCUUACCUGGACACGGCAUUUCUUCUCUCAACAAUGUCUGUUUUCUUUGGAAUCGUUUAGAUGAGUCAGGAUGGUAACACCGCAGCCCCCUCCUCGCUGUGGUCAGAGGUCCCUGGAGGUUUUCAGAAGGGUAACUGCGUGGUGCUGAGGGAUAGAGGGGAUGGGGAUGGGCUGGGGGUGUGCUGGAUGCUCUUGGUAAUCUUUUCCAACCUUUAUGCUUCUAAAGGCGGAGCGCUCUUCCCCAUGUGAAUGUGUUAGAGUGGACUAUGGGGCGAAUUCUGCUCUUCCUCUGUCAAGAUGAGUGAGCCUGGAGUGAUCUGCAGUUUAAAGGUAAACAUUAUUUUGCAGAAAUUGGGUUAGAUUAGGGGUUUGUAUGUGCCUGCAUGCCAGCUGCCCACUGACUUCUAGGCCCCCUUCAGAUACCUUUUUAUUGGUAUUCAAACUCCAUUAUAUUCCUAAUUCAAAAUGAAUACUUAUGCAAAAGAUGGUUUAGACCAUGCAUACACCAAUGGGCAAUCACCUUAACCUCUCCUUGCAGAUCCACGCACGUGGGGUGGUUCUCCAUGCGAUAAGUCAGGGAGAGAGUCGUGCUGAGCUGGGCAGCCCUUCCACUCUUGGUACAAAGAAAAAUAGAUGAUGUAGCAUGCUGUCAGCUGAAGCUGCGUUGGCAGAAUGUAAGGACUCAGCUCUCUGGCAACAGAUGGGCUACAGGCUUCUUCUGACACGAUCUGCCAUCCAGCAUAUGUUAGGCUGAGACACCAAGGGGGUUUAGACUGAGGCUUUACCUUUAAAGAAACAAAAUGUCUUAGCUGCUGCUGAGCAGGUGGCCUUACAGCAUGCAGUCAAUGGGACGAACGUGACUGCUUGGUUGUGUGGUGAGGGGAUGGUCUCAUAGCACAGGGCAGGAACUGGAGCGCCAUUCGUUGUAGUGAGCCAUGAUGGAUUUCUCUUGGAAUUCCUCUUCUCUGCACAUCAUCAUAUUGGCACAUUUACGUAAGGGUGGCUGGUUUGAAGGAUGGAAAACCCUCGGUGGGGGCAGAGCAGCCUCUGCAAUAUCCAAAUGCAUUGUCUUGCCAGUUUGACCUCUUGCUGCAAGCACUGUCUUGAUAUUUAAGUCACAGUGCUUUAGAAUACACACCUCAUCUUUGGGGUCUUGACUGUUCUGGGUUUUAUUUGUAUUUCCCCGUGGGAGCAAUGGCCAAUUGGUACAAACCACAAGCAGUCAUACCUAAGUAUGAACUGCCUUGCUUGCAUUUUCUCCAUCAAAACUCUGACUACGGCAAUUCUUCUCUUUAAGCACCUUCCAAUUGCAACUCUUGGCCGGAGCACCAAGAGCUUUCCUAUCACAGCGCAGGUUCGGUGUGAUCUAUUCCUAUUCAGUGCUAUUUUUCUGGUAGCACUUGCAGAUUAUCCCAUACACAACUUGCGGCCCUGUGCCCUGGCAGGACUGGGCCUGGAGGGCUUCCCUCAGCGCGGAGGGUUCAGGUGGAGCCGCUGCCGUUUGCACAGGGGUAGCUGUGGGGCCCUGCAGGUUGUUCUGUGCCCCUCUGCUGCCCUUGCUGGCUGGGGUUAGUGAAACCUCAGCCUUUUUCUUUUCUUUUUUUCCUUUUUUUGCUGCAAGAAGAGCACUAACAGCAUUUAAAUGGCUCCAUCGGGGCUUUAACUCUUGCUGCAGCGGUGCUCUUCUCGUCCAUCCGUGCUCAGCUCGGCUCCGGACAACCGGCCGCCCCCUCAGCUGCGCAAAAAGCCCAUCGCCGCCAGCCGCCCCGCAGCUGCGCCCGCGUUGCCGUAGCGCCCGGCGGGGCUCCUCCCGCCCCUCCCCCGCCCG
This 12491-nucleotide long non-coding RNA is filed under the name Gallus gallus (chicken). RNAcentral's name for it is "lncRNA (ENSGALG00010022096.1)". The record is from RNAcentral. Lineage: Eukaryota; Metazoa; Chordata; Aves; Galliformes; Phasianidae.